GCAGAAAAAAAACACAUCAUGCACUACUUCUGUUGCCUACUCUACUCUGAAGAGUGAGAGAGAAACGGGGCAAGAAUUUUUUUCCCAGAGCAGUGUUUUGGCAGGGUCCGUGGAAAAAAAAAGAAGAAGAGGAGAUUUGCUUUCUUCGCGUCGCCGUCCUUCUCUCCGUUUUCCUCCCAACUUCCCGCGCCUUUUU
This is a non-coding RNA of Caenorhabditis elegans, 196 nucleotides long. The record is from Ensembl. NCBI's taxonomy places the organism in Eukaryota, Metazoa, Nematoda, Chromadorea, Rhabditida, Rhabditidae.